CCUACGGGUGGCAGCAGUGAGGAAUAUUGGUCAAUGGCCGAAAGCCUGAACCAGCGAUGCCGCGUGAAGGUCAGUGCCCUAUGGGCGUUAAACUUCUUUUGUGCGGGAGCAAUAAUGGUCCCGUGUGGCCCCACGAGAUUACCGUACGAAUCAGCAUCGGCUCACUCCGUGCCAGCAGCCGCGGUAAUAAGGGGGAGGCAAGCGUUAUCCGGAUUUGUUGGGGUGAAAGGGUGCGUAGGCUGGGAGGUAAGUCAGCGGGGAAAUGCCCCCGCUCAACGGGGUGAAGUGCCAUUGAUACUGGCGUGCUGGAAUGCGGAUGAGGUGAGAGGAAUGUGUGGUGUAGCGGUGAAAUGCAUAGAUAUCAGACAGAACACCGGUUGCGAAGGCAUCUAACGAAGCCGUGAUUGACGCUGAGGCACGAAAGCGUGGGUAUCAAACAGGAUUAGAUACCCGAGUAGUC
Molecule: ribosomal RNA, 460 nt
Filed under: uncultured bacterium
Lineage: Bacteria
Description: partial 16S ribosomal RNA
Rfam family: Bacterial small subunit ribosomal RNA
Source: RNAcentral